AGUGAACGCUGGCGGUAGGCCUAACACAUGCAAGUCGAACGGCAGCACAGUAAGAGCUUGCUCUUACGGGUGGCGAGUGGCGGACGGGUGAGGAAUACAUCGGAAUCUACUUUUUCGUGGGGGAUAACGUAGUGAAACUUACGCUAAUACCGCAUACGACCUACGGGUGAAAGCAGGGGAUCUUCGCCCCUUGCGCGAUUGAAUGAGCCGAUGUCGGAUUAGCUAGUUGGCGGGGUAAAGGCCCACCAAGGCGACGAUCCGUAGCUGGUCUGAGAGGAUGAUCAGCCACACUGGAACUGAGACACGGUACAGAAUCAUACGGGAGGCAGCAGUGGGGAAUAGUGGACAAUGGGAGCAAGCCUGAUCCAGCAUACCGCGUGGGUGAAGAAGGCCUUCGGGUUGUAAAGCCCUUUUGUUGGGAAAGAAAAGCAGCAGGUUAAUACCCCGCUGUUCUGACGGUACCCAAAGAAUAAGCACCGGCUAACUUCGUG
RNAcentral lists this ribosomal RNA (491 nucleotides) under uncultured bacterium. Its description in RNAcentral is "partial 16S ribosomal RNA". It matches the Rfam family "Bacterial small subunit ribosomal RNA", at positions 29 to 507 of the family's 1533-position model. The record is from RNAcentral.